RNAcentral lists this ribosomal RNA (746 nucleotides) under uncultured bacterium. RNAcentral's name for it is "bacterial SSU rRNA". It matches the Rfam family "Bacterial small subunit ribosomal RNA", at positions 8 to 801 of the family's 1533-position model. The record is from RNAcentral.
AGAGUUUGAUCCUGGCUCAGAACGAACGCUGGCGGCAGGCCUAACACAUGCAAGUCGAACGAGAUCUUCGGAUCUAGUGGCGGACGGGUUAGUAACGCGUGGGAACGUGCCUUUCACUACGGAAUAGUCCCGGGAAACUGGGUUUAACACCGUAUACGCCCUUCGGGGGAAAGAAUUUCGGUGAAAGAUCGGCCCGCGUUAGAUUAGGUAGUUGGUGGGGUAACGGCCUUCCAAGCCUACGAUCUAUAGCUGGUUUUAGAGGAUGAUCAGCAACACUGGGACUGAGACACGGCCCAGACUCCUACGGGAGGCAGCAGUGGGGAAUCUUAGACAAUGGGGGCAACCCUGAUCUAGCCAUGCCGCGUGAGUGAUGAAGGCCUUAGGGUCGUAAAGCUCUUUCGCCAGGGAUGAUAAUGACAGUACCUGGUAAAGAAACCCCGGCUAACUCCGUGCCAGCAGCCGCGGUAAUACGGAGGGGGUUAGCGUUGUUCGGAAUUACUGGGCGUAAAGCGCACGUAGGCGGAUCGGAAAGUUGGGGGUGAAAUCCCGGGGCUCAACCCCGGAACUGCCUCCAAAACUAUCGGUCUAGAGUUCGAGAGAGGUGAGUGGAAUUCCGAGUGUAGAGGUGAAAUUCGUAGAUAUUCGGAGGAACACCAGUGGCGAAGGCGGCUCACUGGCUCGAUACUGACGCUGAGGUGCGAAAGUGUGGGGAGCAAACAGGAUUAGAUACCCUGGUAGUCCACACC